This 492-nucleotide ribosomal RNA is filed under the name uncultured bacterium. RNAcentral describes it as "partial 16S ribosomal RNA". It matches the Rfam family "Bacterial small subunit ribosomal RNA", at positions 29 to 507 of the family's 1533-position model. The record is from RNAcentral.
AGUGAACGCUGGCGGUAGGCCUAACACAUGCAAGUCGAACGGCAGCACAGUAAGAGCUUGCUCUUACGGGUGGCGAGUGGCGGACGGGUGAGGAAUACAUCGGAAUCUACUUUUUCGUGGGGGAUAACGUAGGGAAACUUACGCUAAUACCGCAUACGACCUACGGGUGAAAGCAGGAGAUCUUCGGACCUUUGGCGAUUGAGUGAGCCGAUGUCGGAUUAGCUAGUUGGCGGGGUAAAGGCCCACCAAGGCGACGAUCCGUAGCUGGUCUGAGAGGAUGAUCAGCCACACUGGAACUGAGACACGGUCCAGACUCCUACGGGAGGCAGCAGUGGGGAAUAUUGGACAAUGGGCGCAAGCCUGAUCCAGCCAUACCGCGUGGGUGAAGAAGGCCUUCGGGUUGUAAAGCCCUUUUGUUGGGAAAGAAAAGCAGCAGGUUAAUACCCCGCUGUUCUGACGGUACCCAAAGAAUAAGCACCGGCUAACUUCGUG